RNAcentral lists this ribosomal RNA (360 nucleotides) under uncultured Eubacteriales bacterium. RNAcentral's name for it is "bacterial SSU rRNA". It matches the Rfam family "Bacterial small subunit ribosomal RNA", at positions 135 to 507 of the family's 1533-position model. The record is from RNAcentral. Lineage: Bacteria; Bacillati; Bacillota; Clostridia; Eubacteriales.
ACUGGGGGAGUACAACUUAGAAAUAGGUGCUAAUACCGCAUAAGCGCACGGAGCUGCAUGGCUCAGUGUGAAAAACUCCGGUGGUGCAAGAUGGACCCGCGUCUGAUUAGCUUGUUGGCGGGGUAACGGCCCGACCCAAGGCGACGAUCAGUAGCCGGCCUGAGAGGGUGGACGGCCACAUUGGGACUGAGACACGGCCCAAACUCCUACGGGAGGCAGCAGUGGGGAAUAUUGGACAAUGGGGGGAACCCUGAUCCAGCGACGCCGCGUGAGUGAAGAAGUAUCUCGGUAUGUAAAGCUCUAUCAGCGGGGAAGAAAGAAAUGACGGUACCUGACCAAGAAGCCCCGGCUAACUACGUG